AAACAUGUCUUUUUGAGUUGAUUUUAAAGUCUAACCUGCCCUCUGAAUAAUUUUUGAAUGGCCGCAGUAUUUUGACUGUGCAAAGGUAGCAUAAUCAUUAGUCUUUUAAUUGAAGGCUGGUAUGAAUGGUUGGACGAAGUAUAAGCUGUUUCAUAUAAAUUUAUUAUAGAAUUUUAUAUUUUAGUAAAAAAGCUAAAAUUUUAUUAAAAGACGAGAAGACCCUAUAAAUCUUUAUAUUUAAUUUUAUUUAAUUUUUUUUGAUUUAUUUAAUUUUAAUAAUAUUAAGUAUUUUGUUGGGGUGAUGUUAAAAUUUAAUUAACUUUUAAUUAAAAAAAUCAUUAAUUUAUGAUUCAUUGAUCCAAUAGUAUUGAUUAUAAGAUUAAGUUACUUUAGGGAUAACAGCGUAAUUUUUUUUAAGAGUUCAUAUCGACAAAAAAGUUUGCGACCUCGAUGUUGGAUUAAGGUAUAAUUUUGGGUGUAGCUGUUCAAAUGUUAAGUCUGUUCGACUUUUA
Molecule: ribosomal RNA, 512 nt
Filed under: Anastrepha katiyari
Lineage: Eukaryota; Metazoa; Arthropoda; Insecta; Diptera; Tephritidae
Description: partial small subunit ribosomal RNA
Rfam family: Bacterial large subunit ribosomal RNA (bases 395-512)
Source: RNAcentral